CGGGGCGUGGCCUAGAUGGAUAGGGCACCAGACUGGGGGUCUGGGGGUCGGCGGUUCGAGUCCGCCCGCCCCGACCA
Molecule: transfer RNA, 77 nt
Filed under: Elusimicrobia bacterium CG08_land_8_20_14_0_20_44_26
Lineage: Bacteria; Pseudomonadati; Elusimicrobiota
Description: tRNA-Pro
Rfam family: tRNA
About the family: Transfer RNA (tRNA) molecules are approximately 80 nucleotides in length. Their secondary structure includes four short double-helical elements and three loops (D, anti-codon, and T loops).
Source: RNAcentral